This 918-nucleotide ribosomal RNA is filed under the name uncultured bacterium. Its description in RNAcentral is "bacterial SSU rRNA". It matches the Rfam family "Bacterial small subunit ribosomal RNA", at positions 72 to 990 of the family's 1533-position model. The record is from RNAcentral.
CGCGGACUUCGGUUUUCGAGAUAGUGGCGCACGGGUGCGUAACACGUAUGCAACCUACCUUGUUCAGGGGGAUAGCCCGGCGAAAGUCGGAUUAAUACCGCAUAACAUAUAGAUAACACCUGUUAUUUAUAUCAAAGCUGAGGCGGAACAAGAUGGGCAUGCGUCUCAUUAGCUAGUUGGUGAGGUAAUGGCUCACCAAGGCCACGAUGAGUAGGGGAUCUGAGAGGAUGACCCCCCACACUGGUACUGAGACACGGACCAGACUCCUACGGGAGGCAGCAGUAAGGAAUAUUGGUCAAUGGAGGCAACUCUGAACCAGCCAUGCCGCGUGCAGGAAGACGGCCCUAUGGGUUGUAAACUGCUUUUAUACCGGAGAAAACCCCCAUUUGCGAAUGGGGUUGAUAGUACGGUAAGAAUAAGGAUCGGCUAACUCCGUGCCAGCAGCCGCGGUAAUACGGAGGAUCCAAGCGUUAUCCGGAUUUAUUGGGUUUAAAGGGUGCGUAGGCGGCCUAUUAAGUCAGUGGUGAAAGACAUCCGCUUAACGGAUGCAGUGCCAUUGAUACUGAUGGGCUUGAGUACAGAUGAGGUGGGCGGAAUGUGACAAGUAGCGGUGAAAUGCAUAGAUAUGUCACAGAACACCAAUUGCGAAGGCAGCUCACUAAGUUGUAACUGACGCUGAGGCACGAAAGCGUGGGGAUCAAACAGGAUUAGAUACCCUGGUAGUCCACGCCCUAAACGAUGAUCACUCGCUGUGUGCGAUAUACAGUACGCGGCUUAGCGAAAGCGUUAAGUGAUCCACCUGGGGGAGUACGUCCGCAAGGAUGAAACUCAAAGGAAUUGACGGGGGCCCGCACAAGCGGAGGAGCAUGUGGUUUAAUUCGAUGAUACGCGAGGAACCUUACCCGGGCUUGAAAGUUA